GGAUGCGAUCAAACCACUUCUAACGCACCGGAUCCAUCAAAACUCCGAAGUUAAGCGUGCUUGGGCGAGAGUAGUACUCGAAAGGGUGACCCCCUGGGAAGUCCUCGUGUUGGAUCCC
This 118-nucleotide ribosomal RNA is filed under the name Solanum lycopersicum (tomato). Lineage: Eukaryota; Viridiplantae; Streptophyta; Magnoliopsida; Solanales; Solanaceae. The record is from RNAcentral.